UUGCCUUCUUACCAUUUGCUUCUCAUUCUGUGUCUUCUGUUAGCCUGGUAUGAUAAUUUGGAUACCUGCUCACCUAGAAAUAUGUUCACACAUUGCCACAGACACUUCUAUUGCUGUGCACUCAUAUGUAGACAUUUACACACACAUCUUUUUAUUUUAGGUUCAUUUAAUCUCUUCAGCUGGGGACUGUAACCUCCUGUCAUUGGAAUGAAUUAGCGUUUGUUGUUUUUUUUCCUAGAAGGUAGGAGGGCAAGUGGCUAGCUCUGAAAAAUAUUUUGGAACAACAGUGGGUUCAAAUUAUUAGUGAAGAAAAAAAAAAAAUCUUUAAAAAUAAUUCCCUGGGCUAUUUUGUUGUUUGUUAUAUUCUCUGAAUGCAUGUGAUUCGUGGGCCUAAAAAGGCCUUCGAUGACCUCAUCUUGGCAAUUUCAGGAUGUUCACAGCACGUCUGGAGCCCAGUAGAUGGCACUAUCUAGUGGUGCUGAGAACAGUUCAUGGAGAAACUACCACUCACAGCUACAAAUCUGGUAGAGAAGUAGCACCCUGACAGUUUACUGGACAAGUUAGAAGUUGAUAGUAACGCUGCGUCAUCCUCCCCCUUACUAGGGAAUGAGGGAAUGAGACCUUUCCUUACAUGUCUUGCCUAUUCAUGGUAUUUACUCUCAGUACACAAAACACUGUUGCCUCCUAUGGAUAGUCAGUGCCCCCUGGGGGGAAAUAGAAUAAAUUUGUGGCCAGUGGUCAGGCUUGAGACUUACCUCGUGUUUCAGAAGAGUGUUUUGCAGUGAGAGAUCUGGAGGAUUUCAGUGUUCGCACCCUGUAUGAUAAGCUGGAGGACCAGAAUUUGCACCUGGCAUCUCAGCUGGCAAAACACAGGAUGGAUGUGCUGGUGUUUUACAACGGAGUCAGGCAGCAGAUUCAAGGUCUCACGGACAUGGUGCAAGCACUGGACUCUGAAGGCCGGAAAAUCUUUGCCAGGCAAAGGAUUUGUGGGCAUAAACCUGCAGAAAGCAGCUGGGCAGCAGUGGGCGUUGAACCAUGUGAUGAGCACUGUAGCAGCAACUUCCGAGCAGUAGGGCACACAGGUGCACCGUGGCAAGAGGCAACAGAGUUAAUGAAAGCUCUGGAAAUCCUUCUUGGGAGAGCUCAGCACAAGAAUAUCUCCGUGAAACAAGAGAUGGAGCAGCAGGCCCAAGGACAGGAUGAGCUGGCAGUUGUACCCUCACUGGGCAGCCUGGCCAGUGAAAGUAAAGCAGAAGAAGGGGAAGGGCAGAAUCGUGAGCUGCUUCAGCAGUGCAAGCUUUUCUGUAGGAAAGGUGCUCUUUUCAGCUUCCCUGGACAUGACGAACACGAUCCCCAGCUGGCUUACCUGACUGAGCUGGAGGUGGAAGGCCUGAUAGCAGCUUCCCCCCUUGCCAAGACUCUGUGUGAGAUCAAGCAAGCUUUGGUGAAGCUGCAACAUCCUUUAGACCUUCAUAAUCCAGAGAAAUGUUUAAGUGACAGCUCCUCAGAAGAUACGAGGAGUGCCCUCAUCCCCACAGACCUGGCCAGUUUGUCACCUCACCAGUUCGUGGUGUACCGCUUUGGCUGUGCAGUGGUGCGCCUGUUAAUCGGGGCCUGCUCAUGCCCUGCUUUCGUACUUGCACUGGCUCACUCAGUUCCUGCCCAAAGUCCAGGCCAAGAGCUUCCAAGCCUUGGGGACUGCUACUAUGAUGCCACCACGAAGUACCUCUAUGUACGUGCAGCAAGGCUGGAAGAUGCAGGGGAAUUGACUGCUGUCCUGCUGAACGCUGUGGCAUGGAUCUCAGCAGGUUGUCCCUCAACCAGUAUUGGUCAUUCCUGCUUUCUGAUGGAGCUCAACAGAGCUAUCAUGGCUCUUGCCAAUGCUUUUUUCCAGCAUUCAUGGGGGAUAGCAGAGAAGCAUUCUUCAGGAGGUUGCUUAGCUGUUCAUUUUGACCCUCAGAAAGUGCUCAAAGAACUUGUCAGCAUCAGAGUAUCACCGCUCCCAUGUGUCAAGGAAAAAGCCCCAGAAGAGAGGGUGUCUAAUCUGGAAAAGUACCAGGCCCUUAAGUUGCAAGUGGAGACCCAGGACAGGAUGGAAAAUUCCCAGAAAAGUGACUAUAACUGGAUGUUAGAUUCCUCUCCUGUUAAGCUGAAGGUUGCGAAACUGGAAGAGAGGCUGGAUGAGCUAAAUGAGGAGUUUUUUGACCUGACAGUACGGGCCUUGAGCAUGCAGGAAGAUGGGGAGUCGUUGGAGAAGGAGCUGAGAAUACAGGAAGAGGCAUUUACGACUGCAAGCAACAAACGAGUGUGGGGAGCUCAGCAAUAUUCAGAGCUGUUGGAUUCCUGGGCCACAAAGAGGGAUGAAGCCCUGCUGCUGGAAAUAAGAAAGAACUGCAUUGCUCAGAGGAUUGAAGAGAUGGAAGCAGAACUAUUUUAUCUUCAGCAAAGUAAAAUAGGCACCAGCCCAUUUCCUUGA
This 2476-nucleotide long non-coding RNA is filed under the name Cairina moschata (Muscovy duck). RNAcentral describes it as "domestica (muscovy Duck (domestic type)) lncRNA (ENSCMMG00000010835.1)". The record is from RNAcentral. Lineage: Eukaryota; Metazoa; Chordata; Aves; Anseriformes; Anatidae.